Molecule: non-coding RNA, 506 nt
Organism: Tinamus guttatus (white-throated tinamou)
Lineage: Eukaryota; Metazoa; Chordata; Aves; Tinamiformes; Tinamidae
Source: RefSeq, a predicted model, not a curated record
CUGCCAGGAAAAGAAGAGGUUGGUCAUGUGGACAUGGUCUUGCCAAAUGAGGAAGCAGAGAAAUGCUGCUUUAUUCUGGAAGCGUAUUUUACUGCACAGGUGCCUAAUCACCUGGUCCCAUGUCACUGCCUUUAGGUUGAGGCAGCGUGAAGCCCUUUCUUGUUUUGAGAGUGCCAGAGAGCACCGUCUCCUAGCAGUGAGCUUUGCCCAGUGGAGGCUGGAAUUCCUGAGAGCUAAACAGCAGUUGCUGGGAGAGGGAAGCCACAAGCAGCAGGCACCUUGUCAGGCCAAAGCCUGUCACCGCUGGCGAUUGGCCUCAAGGGGACAGAAAGCCUUGCGCCUAGGGUCUGUGGCCACCAUGGAACAGGCCUGCAACUACUGGACAAAAGCAGCUGCCUUCUCCCAGUGCUUGCGGCAGUGCAGUACCCUGAUAGGAGCUAGGAAGAUCAGGAAGAUGGCUCUGUCAUGGUCCAUCAAGAAGAGAGGAUGCAGAGAGAAAGGUUCAC